ACACUGGUAACGAGCUUCCUGUUUCAAUAGGAGACUUGCUCUACUUCCGGAGGAAGUCGGAAUAAGGUUGGUGUCAGGAUCACGAAGACCUUUUUGUUCGUGAGAAGCUCAGAAGACUCUUAAGGUUGGAAAGAGGCUUGGAACCUACCUGUUUGAGGUGAUUCCGACCUUAGUUUCCGGGCACGUCUAGAAAGAAUUAAGGUGAUGAUGACGACCACCUGAUUCCCCGAGGCCUUGUCAAAUCUAACGACAGCAGUUUCUAUGAAUUGUCCGUAGUCUUUAUUAUUUUUUGCUCCUUUUCCUUAAAUAUCAAGUGGUAAUUAGCGGUUGACGUGUUUGACAAGGAAGACUUGGGACUGUUGACCAACAGGCUCCCGAGAUUGUGAGCGGUUCCCCGAUCUGAAAGAAGAUAUUGUCGGCCAAAUCAAUGCCGCUUGCUUCGGUGUUCCAGCCGCAUGACAAGCGAGUUCUCGGAGCACUUCAUAUCUGGUCCGGCGGCAAUCCUCGUCUUCUUAUGUCGUCGUCUCAUUUACAUGCCACGGUAAGCAAUGCACCAGUCGUAUAGACCUUGUGUUUUUUUCCUUCUCUUCACUUCAUUCAUAAUAAUAAUAAUAAUAAUAAUAAUAAAAUGACGAGAUGAUUCCAUUCCAGCAGUAUUCAUUCAUAUAGUUCUGGUGAUCUUUCUUUUGAUGAUGACGAUCGAAAUCUUCAUCAGAAAAGAAACUAAACACUCUACUCGAUGCCUUCAUUGUCCGAACCCAAAAUUAAGCAAAAGAGAACCGAGGAGUCAAACGACCUCACCUGCAAAAUUCCACCUCUCUAUGUUAUGCCGGUCGGUAUCUUCGCCUAAAGGAGGCCUCACUUCAAAUAAAUUACUUCGUUUGCCAUCUUCCUCGAAGCUAUCUAUCUCCGGCAGCGAUCGACGGGGCUCGGGUAGAGCUAACCAGCUGAAGAGGGCUCUGUGGAGAGAGAACCAGAAGGCGAAACGCUCUGCUGUGGAGGAGGACUGAUGCAUUGCUGCUGAAGCCGGACGCAUGAUGAGCCUCCCUCCGCACCCGGUGGACUCGCCAUGGCUGAAGAAGCAUUAGGCAGCUUUCCAGCGUGCAAUCGAUAUUUCUGAAAUAGCAGGAGCAGAACGUCGGAAAACGCCAUCUCACGACAAGGAUUAGGAAGCAGUAAGGUAAGUAAUCCACGAGGAGGAGGAGGAGGAGGAGGAACUGGGUAGCCACCUGCAGAUGGCUUUUCACCUCAUCGUUUGUGAGCCCCUCCACCUUCAUCACUUCCCGUAUCUGCUUGGGAGUAGCCACUGCAUCAACGAACACGACACUCGGAUCCAAGCCAAAGAAUAGUAGUGUAUUCGGGGAGUAAGUAGAACAUGAUGGAUCGACACCAGCAAAGAGAAAAAGGGGACAAUUCUGCAAAAGCCACUCGCCUUGGGCACCGCCGAGCUGUUGGAUGGCGAGCGUGAACCGCCGAUGCAGCUCCUGCGACCAACACCUCCUCGCCUUCCUCGACGGCUGAUGCUGGGACUGGAAGCCAAGGCGGCCGCACACCGUCGCUGGAGCUGGAGACGACUCCGGUGCUCUGCCGACGCUUUUGGGGCCGCGACCGCAGCCACGGCGGUCGGGCAACGCGGCGGCAGGCUUCUUCUCCUCGGAGCUCGCAGAAACCGUCGACAGCGCUUCAAACGGUAAGAAAGCGCCGUCGCCGCCGGGGCUCUUGCAUUCCAAGAACAAGUUCUCCUUCCCCUGCCUGCGUCCCUCCUGCCGCGACCAGAAGUGGAAGAUCCAUUUAUCGCUCCAGAGCUGGGCGGAGCUCAUCCAGUUCAUCUUGUCGUCUACUUUUACCUCUCCAUCCUCCUCGACUCUACUCUCCACGGGUAACAACUCCCGGAGAACACGCCCGAAACACCCGCCGCCGCAUCGCUCCG
Musa acuminata AAA Group (dessert banana) is the source of this 1930-nucleotide long non-coding RNA. RefSeq lists it as uncharacterized. NCBI's taxonomy places the organism in Eukaryota, Viridiplantae, Streptophyta, Magnoliopsida, Zingiberales, Musaceae. The record is from RefSeq and is a predicted model, not a curated record. The transcript is spliced from 3 exons.